GACGAACGCUGGCGGCGCGCCUAACACAUGCAAGUCGAACGGAGUCAAGAGGAGCUUGCUUUUCUUGACUUAGUGGCGCACGGGUGAGUAACGCGUGAGUAACCUGCCCUGGAGUGGGGGACAACAGUUGGAAACGACUGCUAAUACCGCAUAAGCCCACGGAUCCGCAUGGAUCUGCGGGAAAAGGAGUUAUUCGCUUCAGGAUGGACUCGCGUCCACUUAGCUAGUUGGUGAGGUAACGGCCCACCAAGGCGACGAUUGGUAGCCGGACUGAGAGGGUGGACGGCCACAUUGGGACUGAGACACGGCCCAGACUCCUACGGGAGGAGGCAGUAGGGGAUAAUGCACAAUGGGGGAAACACUGAUGCAGCGACGCCGCGUGGAGGAAGAAGGUUUUCGGAUUGUAAACUCCUGUCGUUAGGGACGAUAAUGACGGUACCUAACAAGAAAGCACCGGCUAACUACGUG
RNAcentral lists this ribosomal RNA (468 nucleotides) under uncultured bacterium. RNAcentral's name for it is "partial 16S ribosomal RNA". It matches the Rfam family "Bacterial small subunit ribosomal RNA", at positions 28 to 507 of the family's 1533-position model. The record is from RNAcentral.